RNAcentral lists this ribosomal RNA (301 nucleotides) under uncultured bacterium. RNAcentral's name for it is "partial 16S ribosomal RNA". It matches the Rfam family "Bacterial small subunit ribosomal RNA", at positions 509 to 807 of the family's 1533-position model. The record is from RNAcentral.
CAGUAGCCGCGGUAAUACGUAGGUCCCGAGCGUUGUCCGGAUUUAUUGGGCGUAAAGCGAGCGCAGGCGGUUAGAUAAGUCUGAAGUUAAAGGCCGUGGCUUAACCCCGGAGCUGCUUUGGGAACUGUAGAACUGGAGUGUCGGAGGGGUAAGCGGAAUUCCCAGUGUAGCGGUGAAAUGCGUAGAUAUUGGGAGGAACACCGGCGGCGAAGGCGGCUUACUGGACGACAACUGACGUUGAGGCUCGAAGGCGUGGGUAGCAAACAGGAUUAGAGACCCCGGUAGUCCCUGUCUCUUAUAC